Long non-coding RNA from Hippocampus comes (tiger tail seahorse), 1309 nucleotides. RefSeq lists it as uncharacterized. The record is from RefSeq and is a predicted model, not a curated record. Lineage: Eukaryota; Metazoa; Chordata; Actinopteri; Syngnathiformes; Syngnathidae. The transcript is spliced from 2 exons.
AGGACUCGGAGGACGCAGACAACAGCGAAAGGCCACCGCCGCGACCACAACAUCCCCACCUACCCCCUCCAUCCCUUUCGAAAGACAGUGCUACCAGACAUCUCAGUCGACGGGAAAUAGGAUCCUCCUCCCUGCCCUUGUGGGACAACGUUGAGAGACAAAGAGAACGCAAUGGCGCUGAUGUGAGCAGGGAGGCCGGCCGUCUGCGUCCAUUCACAUUUUCUGCCAUUCACAUUUUUUAACAAGACGAGACGGCUGCUCAAUGCUUUUUUCUUUGUCCUGUCAUCUGCUUCUUUAAACUACAAAGAAAUAUGCAUUAAUGAAAUGCGGCUUUUUUGGGGGGGAGGCUUUCCUCUUUCUCUUUCAAUAUAAGCAGAAGGGAGAGUUUUAAAAUUUCACAACAUAAUUGAGGCCCAAGUAAGGAGUACAGAGUUUCACCAAAAAAAAAAAGUUGAAGUAACUGUUUCGUGGACAGUUUCCAAACUGAAUCAGAGACCCUGUUUAGGUUAUUGGAAUAAAAUUGGGGCUGAGUUAAAAUAAAUUCCCAGUCAGAGUAAUGGAGUCAAACAUGCCCCCUUCAAACCAAAAUUUACUUUCCAAAAAUUCUCGAAAAAGAUCGCCAAACUUUGACAUCACACUCCGUCCCACAUUAGACGGCGUAGACAAAAAAUCUUGCCCGUUUCGGUCUACAAAUAGGAUACCCACUUCCAAAUUGUGGCUCAUUUGGAUGAAGCCUCUUGUAGGAGUUUAUCCAAGUGCAAACCCAAGAAUAAAAUGUCUGCUUCAAACCAAAAUGGCCAACUUCCUGUUUAAUUUCAGGAACGAAUUCUUUGAGACCUUUUUGAGCGUCAUCACAGACAGAUCCACCCAAUUAAUUUGGUGUCGAUAGGUGGAACUGGUGAAAAUCCUCUAAAAGAACAUUUACAUAGCAUAAGCAAAAUAUAAUUUCAUUAAAAUGUUGGCUCGCUUUUCAGCAUAGCAUUUUCCAAUUGGGGCAAAUUCCCUGCUUUAAACCAAAAUGGACGACUUUCUUUUCAAUUUCAGUCAUGGCUUCUUGAAACUUUUAUCCACCUCAUAUUGUGUUGAUCUGUGAAACUGGUGUUGGGGGCACAUUUAUUGAAAAAUUUCCAAGGGGUGCUACAGAGUUUGUAUUGUUUUCUCUUACGUUAUUUUGUGGGCUCACCGACACAGUGAGUUUUGGCCGAGUUAUUUUGAGGGCCGCUGCACUUGCCAAGAUUGGUCCGUUUUCGGGCAUGUUGUGGUGAUGAAUUUGUCAAGAAUAAUAAACGCAGACAACUACGCCGCCUAA